Molecule: ribosomal RNA, 650 nt
Filed under: uncultured bacterium
Lineage: Bacteria
Description: bacterial SSU rRNA
Rfam family: Bacterial small subunit ribosomal RNA
Source: RNAcentral
UGAUCCUGGCUCAAGAUGAACGCUGGCGGCGUGCCUAACACAUGCAAGUCGAACGGGGUAUAUAAGCGGAAGUUUACGGAUGGAAGGUUAUAUACUUAGUGGCGGACGGGUGAGUAACGCGUGGGCAACCUGCCCCGUGCCGGGGGAUACCGCCUGGAAACAGGCGCUAAUACCGCAUAAGCGCAUACAGCCGCAUGGGUGUAUGCGGAAAGCUCCGGCGGCACGGGAUGGGCCCGCGCCCGAUUAGCCAGUUGGCGGGGUAACGGCCCACCAAAGCGACGAUCGGUAGCCGGCCUGAGAGGGCGGACGGCCACAUUGGGACUGAGACACGGCCCAAACUCCUACGGGAGGCAGCAGUGGGGAAUAUUGCACAAUGGGGGAAACCCUGAUGCAGCAACGCCGCGUGGGUGAAGGAGCGUUUCGGCGCGUAAAGCCCUGUCAGCGGGGAAGAAGAAAGACGGUACCCGACCAAAAAGCCCCGGCUAACUACGUGCCAGCAGCCGCGGUAAUACGUAGGGGGCGAGCGUUAUCCGGAAUUACUGGGUGUAAAGGGAGCGUAAACGGNCGAGUAAGCCUGAAGUGGAACCCCGCGGCCCAACCGCGGAACUGCUUUGGGGAACUUGUUUGCUGGAAUCAUGGGAGGGGUCUAC